Helianthus annuus (common sunflower) is the source of this 1091-nucleotide long non-coding RNA. RefSeq lists it as uncharacterized. Lineage: Eukaryota; Viridiplantae; Streptophyta; Magnoliopsida; Asterales; Asteraceae. The transcript is spliced from 2 exons. The record is from RefSeq and is a predicted model, not a curated record.
UUAUAACUAGUUAUAUAUAUCAAUUGAUAACGUAUGAUUGCUACAGUACCGGGUAUUUUCGUAAUUUUAAGUUUCACACAAUAACAUUCACCACGCUUUUGUUCUCCGACUCAUUCCUCUUCUCCCAACCCUUCAAACUGGGUUUGCCUACACCACCACUGAUCUUCAUCUCCGCCGAUGCUGAUCAUCGUUGCUUUAAUCGGACGAUUCCAAACCAGGUUACUUGGGUUCCCCUACACCACCACUGAUCUUCAUCUCCGUCGAUGCCGAUCAUCGUUGCUUGAAUCGGACGAUUCCCAGGUUACUUGGGUUCCCCUACACCGCCACUGAUCUUCAUCUCCGCCGACGCUGAUCAUCGUUGCUUGAAUCGGACGAUUCCAAACCAGGUGUGAGGUGUCGGUAAAUUGUUUAAUAGUUUUGACAUACAACGAGGUUUAAAAAGGGUAGCAAGAGGUGCCGGCAUCAUGGGAUAUGGCAGAAGCAAUGGACAUGUUACAAUGUGAGGUAUUAUGGUUAUGAAGAUGUGGGAAGGGUAUUUAGAAGGUUAUUGAGUGAGUGGUGAUACAGUGGAAGUUUUUUUUAUUAAAAUUCUUGGAAAGUUGCAGCGGUAGGUCGGUUUUUAGUAAGGCUGCAUGGGUGUACUCGUGAAAUUAGGCCCCAUAAAGUGAAUAUUAGGUGGCAGCAGGCGUGGCAUGACAGUCAAUGGGUUCUGGUUGCGAAAAUAAUUCAUUUCAUCAUUUUCUUUAUUUCCAUUACAUAUAGAUUUUAGUAAGCAAUGGGGUUGACUUGAUGAUAUGUCAAAAAAUAGAAGAUUGUUUACCUGUGUACAACGAUGGUAGAUUACAGAAGCGGAAUCAAAAGCGUAUUUCAGGCCAUUCAUUUAAAAGGUAGAUGUUGUUCAAUGAAAUGGAGAAUAGAAAAAUAUAUGGUGCCGGAUGUGUUUGACGCUAAAUGCAACUACGAAAACCAUUGUCAUUUUGGUAGACACAGUUCAUUCAUAAAUUCAUGUAUGUGUUCAAUUUGAUUCGUACUCCCUUUGUUUCUUAUUAUUUGUUUUCCGUUUCUAUGAUGCAAUUGGCAAUGUACCAUCC